CCUACGGGUGGCUGCAGUGAGGAAUAUUGGUCAAUGGACGCAAGUCUGAACCAGCCAUGCAGCGUGCAGGAAGACGGCUCUAUGAGUUGUAAACUGCUUUUGUAUGAGGGUAAACGCAGAUACGUGUAUCUGUCUGAAAGUAUCGUACGAAUAAGGAUCGGCUAACUCCGUGCCAGCAGCCGCGGUAAUCCGGAGGAUUCAAGCGUUAUCCGGAUUUGUUGUGUUUAAAGGGUGCGUAGGAGGUCGGAUAAGUUAGAGGUUAAAUCCGGAGGCUCAACUUCGGAAUUGCCUUUGAUACUGGUCGGCUAGAGAGUAGUGGCGGUAGGAAGAAUGUAUGGUGUAGCGGUAGAAU
Molecule: ribosomal RNA, 352 nt
Filed under: uncultured bacterium
Lineage: Bacteria
Description: partial 16S ribosomal RNA
Rfam family: Bacterial small subunit ribosomal RNA
Source: RNAcentral